GACGAACGCUGGCGGCGUGCUUAACACAUGCAAGUCGAACGGAAAGGCCCUGCUUUUGUGGGGUGCUCGAGUGGCGAACGGGUGAGUAACACGUGAGUAACCUGCCCUUGACUUUGGGAUAACUUCAGGAAACUGGGGCUAAUACCGGAUAGGAGCUCCUGCUGCAUGGUGGGGGUUGGAAAGUUUCGGCGGUUGGGGAUGGACUCGCGGCUUAUCAGCUUGUUGGUGGGGUAGUGUCUUACCAAGGCUUUGACGGGUAGCCGGCCUGCGAGGGUGACCGGCCACAUUGGGACUGAGAUACGGCCCAGACUCCUACGGGAGGCAGCAGUGGGGAGUAUUGCACAAUGGGCGGAAGCCUGAUGCAGCAACGCCGCGUGCGGGAUGACGGCCUUCGGGUUGUAAACCGCUUUCGCCUGUGACGAAGCGUGAGUGACGGUAAUGGGUAAAGAAGCACCGGCUAACUACGUG
RNAcentral lists this ribosomal RNA (468 nucleotides) under uncultured bacterium. RNAcentral describes it as "partial 16S ribosomal RNA". It matches the Rfam family "Bacterial small subunit ribosomal RNA", at positions 28 to 507 of the family's 1533-position model. The record is from RNAcentral.